GAUGAAGAACGCAGCGAAAUGCGAUAAGUAAUGCGAAUUGCAGAAUCCGUGAGUCAUCGAAUCUUUGAACGCACAUUGCGCCCGCCAGUAUUCUGGCGGGCAUGCCUGUUCGAGCGUCAUUACAACCCUCAGGCCCCCGGGCCUGGCGUUGGGGAUCGGCGGAGCCCCCCGUGGGCACACGCCGUCCCCCAAAUGCAGUGGCGGUCCCGCCGCAGCUUCCAUCGCGUAGUAGCUAACACCUCGCGACUGGAGAGCGGCGCGGCCACGCCGUAAAACACCCAACUCUUCUGAAGUUGACCUCGAAUCAGGUAGGAAUACCCGCUGAACUUAAGCAUAUCAAUAAGCGGAGGA
This 351-nucleotide unclassified non-coding RNA is filed under the name soil metagenome. RNAcentral's name for it is "partial contains 5.8S ribosomal RNA, internal transcribed spacer 2, and large subunit ribosomal RNA". The stretch from base 1 to 119 matches the Rfam family "5.8S ribosomal RNA", at positions 35 to 154 of the family's 154-position model. The record is from RNAcentral.